GUCCACGCCCGUAAACGAUGCGCACUAGGUUUGUUAACCUCUGACGGUUAGCGAGCCGAAACAAAAGCGAUAAGUGCGCCGCCUGGGGAGUACGGCCGCAAGGCUAAAAACUCAAAGGAAUUGACGGGGGCUCACACAAGCGGUGGAGGAUGUGGCUCAAUUCGAAGCAACGCGAAGAACCUUACCCCGGGUUUGACAUGCUAGGAUUAGUUUUGUGAAAGCAAAAUGACGCGGCUUGCCGUGGAACUAGCACAGGUGCUGCAUGGCUGUCGU
Molecule: ribosomal RNA, 273 nt
Filed under: uncultured bacterium
Lineage: Bacteria
Description: partial 16S ribosomal RNA
Rfam family: Bacterial small subunit ribosomal RNA
Source: RNAcentral